Molecule: ribosomal RNA, 505 nt
Filed under: uncultured soil bacterium
Lineage: Bacteria
Description: bacterial SSU rRNA
Rfam family: Bacterial small subunit ribosomal RNA
Source: RNAcentral
AGGACGAACGCUGGCGGCGUGCUUAACACAUGCAAGUCGAGCGGUAAGGCCUUUCGGGGUACACGAGCGGCGAACGGGUGAGUAACACGUGGGUGAUCUGCCCUGCACUUCGGGAUAAGCCUGGGAAACUGGGUCUAAUACCGGAUAUGACCUCCUAUCGCAUGGUGGGUGGUGGAAAGAUUUAUCGGUGCAGGACCUGGGCCCGCGGCCUAUCAGCUUGUUGGUGGGUAAUGGCCUACCAAGGCGACGACGGGUAGCCGACCUGAGAGGGUGACCGGCCACACUGGGACUGAGACACGGCCCAGACUCCUACGGGAGGCAGCAGUGGGGAAUAUGCACAAUGGGCGAAAGCCUGAUGCAGCGACGCCGCGUGAGGAUGACGGCCUUCGGGUUGUAAACCUCUUUCGAGUCGAGGACGAAGCGCAAGUGACGGUACUGCAGAAGAAGCGACCGGCUAAACGUACGUGACCGAGCGAACGCCGGACGUAACGUCGUAGACGGCGGC